This 466-nucleotide ribosomal RNA is filed under the name uncultured bacterium. RNAcentral describes it as "partial 16S ribosomal RNA". It matches the Rfam family "Bacterial small subunit ribosomal RNA", at positions 29 to 523 of the family's 1533-position model. The record is from RNAcentral.
AGCGAACGCUAGCGGCAGGCUUAACACAUGCAAGUCGAGCGCCAGGUUUCGGCCUGGAGCGGCGAACGGGUGAGUAACACGUAGGUCACGUACCCUAUGGUGGGGAAUACCCCGGGGAAACUCGGAUCAAUGCCCCAUAUGUCCGAAAGGAUGAAAGCGCUUCGGCGCGCCAGAGGAUCGGGCCUGCGGCCCAUUAUUUAAUCCUAGUUGGUGAGGUAACGGCUCACCAAGGGUACGAUGGGUAGCUGGUCUGAGAGGACGAUCAGCCACACUGGAACUGAGACACGGUCCAGACUCCUACGGGGGGCAGCAGUGGGGAAUAUUGGACAAUGGGCGAAAGCCUGAUCCAGCCAUGCCGCGUGAGUGAUGAAGGCCUUCGGGUUGUAAAGCUCUGUCGUGGGGGAAGAAGUUCUGACGGUACCCCACAAGAAAGCCCCGGCUAACUCCGUGCCAGCCGCCGCCGUAA